Molecule: ribosomal RNA, 500 nt
Filed under: uncultured bacterium
Lineage: Bacteria
Description: partial 16S ribosomal RNA
Rfam family: Bacterial small subunit ribosomal RNA
Source: RNAcentral
AUUGAACGCUGGCGGAAUGCUUUACACAUGCAAGUCGAACGGCAGCACGGACUUCGGUCUGGUGGCGAGUGGCGAACGGGUGAGUAAUGUAUCGGAACGUGCCCAGUCGUGGGGGAUAACGUAGUGAAAAUUACGCUAAUACCGCAUACGAUCUAUGGACGAAAGCGGGGGAUCGCAAGACCUCGCGCGAUUGGAGCGGCCGAUAUCAGAUUAGGUAGUUGGUGGGGUAAAGGCCCACCAAGCCAACGAUCUGUAGCUGGUCUGAGAGGACGACCAGCCACACUGGAACUGAGACACGGUCCAGACUCCUACGGGAGGCAGCAGUGGGGAAUUUUGGACAAUGGGCGAAAGCCUGAUCCAGCCAUUCCGCGUGCAGGAUGAAGGCCCUCGGGUUGUAAACUGCUUUUGUACAGAACGAAAAGGUUUCUACUAGUACUAGGAGCUCAUGACGGUACUGUAAGAAUAAGCACCGGCUAACUACGUGCCAGCAGCCGCCGUAA